UACAGAGGGUGCAAGCGUUGUUCGGAAUUAUUGGGCGUAAAGCGCGUGUAGGAGGCUUUGCAAGUCGGGUGUGAAAGCCCUCAGCUCAACUGAGGAAGUGCGCCCGAAACUGCAGAGCUUGAGUACCGGAGAGGAUGGUGGAAUUCCCCAAGUAGAGGUGAAAUUCGUAGAUAUGGGGAGGAACACCGGUGGCGAAGGCGACCAUCUGGACGGAUACUGACGCUGAGACGCGAAAGCGUGGGUAGCAAACAGG
Molecule: ribosomal RNA, 253 nt
Filed under: uncultured bacterium
Lineage: Bacteria
Description: partial 16S ribosomal RNA
Rfam family: Bacterial small subunit ribosomal RNA
Source: RNAcentral